RNAcentral lists this ribosomal RNA (597 nucleotides) under uncultured bacterium. RNAcentral describes it as "bacterial SSU rRNA". It matches the Rfam family "Bacterial small subunit ribosomal RNA", at positions 338 to 948 of the family's 1533-position model. The record is from RNAcentral.
CCUACGGGAGGCAGCAGUGGGGAAUAUUGCACAAUGGGCGGAAGCCUGAUGCAGCGACGCCGCGUGAGGGAUGAAGGCCUUCGGGUUGUAAACCUCUUUCAGCAGGGACGAAGCGUGAGUGACGGUACCUGCAGAAGAAGCACCGGCUAACUACGUGCCAGCAGCCGCGGUAAUACGUAGGGUGCGAGCGUUGUCCGGAAUUACUGGGCGUAAAGAGUUCGUAGGCGGUUUGUCGCGUCGUUUGUGAAAACCCGGGGCUCAACUUCGGGCUUGCAGGCGAUACGGGCAGACUUGAGUGUUUCAGGGGAGACUGGAAUUCCUGGCGUAGCGGUGAAAUGCGCAGAUAUCAGGAGGAACACCGGUGGCGAAGGCGGGUCUCUGGGAAACAACUGACGCUGAGGAACGAAAGCGUGGGUAGCAAACAGGAUUAGAUACCCUGGUAGUCCACGCCGUAAACGGUGGCGCUAGGUGUGGGUUCCUUCCACGGGAUCUGUGCCGUAGCUAACGCAUUAAGCGCCCGCCUGGGGAGUACGGCCGCAAGGCUAAAACUCAAAUGAAUUGACGGCUGAGAGNGCGAGACGACGACGAGGGAGGAGG